CAAANNNUAGCUAAAUAAGUUUAGUGUUUCAUUUACAUUGAAGUGAAUUAUCGUGCAAGUCGGUUUGCUUUGAA
Molecule: transfer RNA, 74 nt
Filed under: Pastilla ruhuna
Lineage: Eukaryota; Metazoa; Arthropoda; Malacostraca; Decapoda; Gecarcinucidae
Description: tRNA-Val
Source: RNAcentral